UGGAUCCAGACUUUGAUUCUGGCUCAGGAUGAACGCUGGCGGCGUGCCUAACACAUGCAAGUCGAACGAAGCUUGACGGAUGAUUUCUUCGGAAUGAAACCUGAUAUGACUUAGUGGCGGACGGGUGAGUAACACGUGAGCAACCUGCCUUUCGGAGGGGGAUAACGGCUGGAAACGGUCGCUAAUACCGCAUGAUGUGUUCGGAUGGCAUCAUCUGAACAUCAAAGAUUUAUCGCUGAAAGAUGGGCUCGCGUCUGAUUAGAUAGUUGGUGGGGUAACGGCCUACCAAGUCGACGAUCAGUAGCCGGACUGAGAGGUUGAACGGCCACAUUGGGACUGAGAUACGGCCCAGACUCCUACGGGAGGCAGCAGUGGGGAAUAUUGCACAAUGGGGGAAACCCUGAUGCAGCAACGCCGCGUGAAGGAUGACGGUUUCCGGAUUGUAAACUUCUUUUCUUAGUGACGAAGACAGUGACGGUAGCUAAGGAAUAAGCAUCGGCUAACUACGUGCCAGCAGCCGCGGUAAUACGUAGGAUGCAAGCGUUAUCCGGAUUUACUGGGUGUAAAGGGAGCGCAGGCGGGACUGCAAGUUGGAUGUGAAAUACCGUGGCUUAACCACGGAACUGCAUCCAAAACUGUAGUUCUUGAGUGAAGUAGAGGCAAGCGGAAUUCCGAGUGUAGCGGUGAAAUGCGUAGAUAUUCGGAGGAACACCAGUGGCGAAGGCGGCUUGCUGGGCUUUAACUGACGCUGAGGCUCGAAAGUGUGGGGAGCAAACAGGAUUAGAUACCCUGGUAGUCCACACUGUAAACGAUGAUAGCUAGGUGUGGGGGGUCUGACCCCUUCCGUGCCGGAGUUAACGCAAUAAGCUAUCCACCUGGGGAGUACGACCGCAAGGUUGCAACUCAAAUGAAUUGACGGA
This 920-nucleotide ribosomal RNA is filed under the name uncultured organism. RNAcentral describes it as "bacterial SSU rRNA". It matches the Rfam family "Bacterial small subunit ribosomal RNA", at positions 1 to 917 of the family's 1533-position model. The record is from RNAcentral.